GAUGAAGAACGCAGCGAAAUGCGAUACGUAAUGUGAAUUGCAGAAUUCAGUGAAUCAUCUAAUCUUUGAACGCAUAUUGCGCUCUCUGGUAUUCCGGAGAGCAUGCUUGUUUGAGUAUCAGUAAACACCUCAACUCCCCUUUCUUUUUUGAAAUGGGAGCUGGACUUGAGUGAUCCCAACGCUUUUCUCACCGAAAAGUGGCGGGUUACUUGAAAUGCAGGUGCAGCUGGACUUUUCUCUGAGCUAAAAGCAUAUCUAUUUAGUCUGCCUAAAAACAGAUUAUUACCUUUGCUGCAGCUAACAUAAAGGAGAUUAGUUCUUGUGCUGACUGAUGCAGGAUUCACAGAGACAGCUUCGGCUGGCCUUUGUAAACUCGAUCUCAAAUCAAGUAAGACUACCCGCUGAACUUAAGCAUAUCAAUAAGCGGAGGA
RNAcentral lists this unclassified non-coding RNA (431 nucleotides) under soil metagenome. Its description in RNAcentral is "partial contains 5.8S ribosomal RNA, internal transcribed spacer 2, and large subunit ribosomal RNA". The stretch from base 1 to 120 matches the Rfam family "5.8S ribosomal RNA", at positions 35 to 154 of the family's 154-position model. The record is from RNAcentral.